This 253-nucleotide ribosomal RNA is filed under the name uncultured bacterium. RNAcentral describes it as "partial 16S ribosomal RNA". It matches the Rfam family "Bacterial small subunit ribosomal RNA", at positions 524 to 776 of the family's 1533-position model. The record is from RNAcentral.
UACGUAGGUGGCAAGCGUUGUCCGGAAUCAUUGGGCGUAAAGAGCGUGUAGGCGGCCCGAUAAGUCCGCCGUGAAAGUCCAGGGCUCAACCCUGGAAUGCCGGUGGAUACUGUCGGGCUCGAAUCCGGAAGAGGUGAGUGGAAUUCCUGGUGUAGCGGUGAAAUGCGCAGAUAUCAGGAGGAACACCAAUGGCGAAGGCAGCUCACUGGGACGGUAUUGACGCUGAGACGCGAAAGCGUGGGGAGCAAACAGG